GAUGAACGCUAGCGGCAGGCUUAACACAUGCAAGUCGAGGGGUAACAGGGAGUGCUUGCACUCUGCUGACGACCGGCGCACGGGUGCGUAACGCGUAUGCAACCUACCUUCUACAGGGGGAUAGUCCAGAGAAAUUUGGCAUAAUACCCCAUACGAUCAUUUAUUGGCAUCGAUAGAUGAGGAAAACUCCGGUGGUAGAAGAUGGGCAUGCGUCCUAUUAGUUAGUUGGUAAGGUAACGGCUUACCAAGACAUCGAUAGGUAGGGGUCCUGAGAGGGAGAUCCCCCACACUGGUACUGAGACACGGACCAGACUCCUACGGGAGGCAGCAGUGAGGAAUAUUGGACAAUGGAGGCAACUCUGAUCCAGCCAUGCCGCGUGCAGGAAGACGGCCCUACGGGUUGUAAACUGCUUUUAUACAGGAAGAAACGCCGCUACGUGUAGCGGUUUGACGGUACUGUACGAAUAAGGAUCGGCUAACUCCGUGCCAGCAGCCGCGGUAAUACGGAGGAUCCAAGCGUUAUCCGGAAUCAUUGGGUUUAAAGGGUCCGUAGGCGGUUUUUUAAGCCAGAGGUGAAAUCCUGCAGCUCAACUGUAGCAUUGCCUUUGAUACUGAAAGACUUGAGUUAUUGUGAAGUAGUUAGAAUGUGUAGUGUAGCGGUGAAAUGCAUAGAUAUUACACAGAAUACCGAUUGCGAAGGCAGAUUACUAACAAUAUACUGACGCUGAGGGACGAAAGCGUGGGUAGCGAACAGGAUUAGAUACCCUGGUAGUCCACGCCGUAAACGAUGGAUACUAGCUGUUCGACCAACAUUGGUUGGUUGAGUGGCUAAGCGAAAGUGAUAAGUAUCCCACCUGGGGAGUACGCUCGCAAGAGUGAAACUCAAAGGAAUUGACGGGGGCCCGCACAAGCGGUGGAGCAUGUGGUUUAAUUCGAUGAUACGCGAGGAACCUUACCAGGGCUUAAAUGUAAGUUGCAUAGAUCAGAGAUGGUCUUUUCUUCGGACUACUUACAAGGUGCUGCAUGGUUGUCGUCAGCUCGUGCCGUGAGGUGUCAGGUUAAGUCCUAUAACGAGCGCAACCCCUGUCGUUAGUUGCCAGCAAGUAAAGUUGGGCACUCUAGCGAGACUGCCGGUGCAAACCGCGAGGAAGGUGGGGAUGACGUCAAAUCAUCACGGCCCUUACGUCCUGGGCUACACACGUGCUACAAUGGCCGGUACAGAGAGCAGCCACUCCGCGAGGAGGAGCGAAUCUAUAAAACCGGUCUCAGUUCGGAUCGCAGUCUGCAACUCGACUGCGUGAAGCUGGAAUCGCUAGUAAUCGGAUAUCAGCCAUGAUCCGGUGAAUACGUUCCCGGGCCU
RNAcentral lists this ribosomal RNA (1360 nucleotides) under uncultured bacterium. RNAcentral's name for it is "bacterial SSU rRNA". It matches the Rfam family "Bacterial small subunit ribosomal RNA", at positions 28 to 1381 of the family's 1533-position model. The record is from RNAcentral.